AUUGAACGCUGGCGGCGUGCUUUACACAUGCAAGUCGAACGGUAACAGGGUGCUUGCACCGCGGACGAGUGGCGAACGGGUGAGUAAUGCGUCGGAACGUGUCGAGUAGUGGGGGAUAACGCAGCGAAAGUUGUGCUAAUACCGCAUACGUACUGAGGUAGAAAGUGGGGGACCUUCGGGCCUCACGCUAUUCGAGCGGCCGACGUCUGAUUAGCUAGUAGGUGAGGUAAAGGCUCACCCAGGCGACGAUCAGUAGCGGGUCUGAGAGGAUGAUCCGCCAAACUGGGACUGAGACACGGCCCAGACUCCUACGGGAGGCAGCAGUGGGGAAUUUUGGACAAUGGGCGAAAGCCUGAUCCAGCCAUGCCGCGUGUCUGAAGAAGGCCUUCGGGUUGUAAAGGACUUUUGUCAGGGAGGAAAUCCCUAGUGCUAAUAACACUGGGGGAUGACAGUACCUGAAGAAUAAGCACCGGCUAACUACGUGCCAGCCGCCGCGGUAA
RNAcentral lists this ribosomal RNA (500 nucleotides) under uncultured bacterium. RNAcentral describes it as "partial 16S ribosomal RNA". It matches the Rfam family "Bacterial small subunit ribosomal RNA", at positions 30 to 523 of the family's 1533-position model. The record is from RNAcentral.